Molecule: long non-coding RNA, 581 nt
Filed under: Zostera marina
Lineage: Eukaryota; Viridiplantae; Streptophyta; Magnoliopsida; Alismatales; Zosteraceae
Description: long non-coding RNA (ZMAR_LNC001946)
Source: RNAcentral
GCAGCUACUGUGAGUUUUUCUUCGUCAAAGGAGAAUACGGCAUCCUCACAGGGUUGUAAGGGUAAUGCGCCCGUAGUAGGUACUGGAGAAGUGGGAAUAAUCAGGGUGUUGAUGGUUUAAGUGUUUAUUGGGGGUGUUUGUGGUCGUUGUGAAAUUUGGUGGUAUUAGGCGUUGGAGGAGUUGGGUUACCUGUUCAAGAUCUUCUCUGGUGAUGGCUUGAGGUUCCAUGAUCAAGGUUUGAAUCUGAUACCAAAUGAUGGGGGUAUGAAUAGGAGAAGGGAAACAAACAGGAAGGAUAUGGUAAUGAACUGGAAAUAUUGAAUAUUAGUAGUUACUGCAGAACCAUCUUUAGCGGCAAUAAAUCUUCUUCUUCUUCAGGAAUAGGCAGGAGAUGAAGCAUAGCUUGGAAACUUCGAAAGAGAACAAUCUCCAAAAGAAGGUGUUAUCUGGUAUUAUUGAUGUCCUACACCUGUGUCUGAUGUUGAAUGUAAUCAGGAAGUUAGAGGAUCGGAAUGGAUUGAGGAUUAACCAAACUAUUCGGCAGAAAACAAGUACAAUUGUCUUUCAGAAUUUACCCAAAC